RNAcentral lists this unclassified non-coding RNA (342 nucleotides) under soil metagenome. RNAcentral describes it as "partial contains 5.8S ribosomal RNA, internal transcribed spacer 2, and large subunit ribosomal RNA". The stretch from base 1 to 120 matches the Rfam family "5.8S ribosomal RNA", at positions 35 to 154 of the family's 154-position model. The record is from RNAcentral.
GAUGAAGAACGCAGCGAAAUGCGAUAAGUAGUGUGAAUUGCAGAAUUCAGUGAAUCAUCGAAUCUUUGAACGCACAUUGCGGCCAUAGGUAUUCCUUUGGCCAUGCCUGUUCGAGCGUCAUUUACACCCUCAAGCCUAGCUUGGUGUUGGGCGUCUGUCCCGCCGUUUUCGCGCGCGGACUCGCCUCAAAGUCAUUGGCGGCGGUCGUGCCGGCCCCCUCGCGCAGCACAUUUGCGCUUCUCGGAGGCCCGGCGGAUCCGCGCUCCAGCAAGACCUUUCACGACUUGACCUCGGAUCAGGUAGGAAUACCCGCUGAACUUAAGCAUAUCAAUAAGCGGAGGA